GAUUCUGCCCUACGGGGAAGGAUGAGAAGCUUCGACCAAGGUUCGACUCGAGCGCCAGCGAGAGAACGUUGCCGCAGGCAACGGCCCGAAGGGCGAGGCGCUUUAGCGCCGAGUUAUCCUUCCCCCUCUAUUC
This 133-nucleotide small RNA is filed under the name Klebsiella variicola. Its description in RNAcentral is "RtT sRNA". It matches the Rfam family "RtT RNA". Rfam says of the family: This family represents a bacterial cis-regulatory element known as RtT RNA. The record is from RNAcentral. RNAcentral also lists the same sequence under 1 other name. Lineage: Bacteria; Pseudomonadati; Pseudomonadota; Gammaproteobacteria; Enterobacterales; Enterobacteriaceae.